GGUGAACUAGAUUUAUCUGUGCUAUCUGAUUUAAUGGGAAUUCAGGCAUCUUCGACCGGUAUGCAAGAGCAGCCAGUGGAUCCUGGUUUUUGUUCUUGCUAUCAGGAUACUGAGGCUCAGCCUGCUCUUAUUUACCCAAGUAGUGAACUUCAUGCCCAGAAGCCAUUUGUGGAUUUUGUGGGGGAUUUGGCCCGUAGUUCAAAACUUAUCGUUCACCCAGAUGGCCGAGUUUCAUUCAUGGGCACUGGAACUGAGAUGAAGGAUCUACUUUCAGUUGUUGCUGAGUUUUACUUA
RNAcentral lists this long non-coding RNA (294 nucleotides) under Vitis vinifera (wine grape). RNAcentral's name for it is "long non-coding RNA (VVIN_LNC002025)". The record is from RNAcentral. Lineage: Eukaryota; Viridiplantae; Streptophyta; Magnoliopsida; Vitales; Vitaceae.